AUGCAUGAGUUAACUAAGGAAAACAUUGAGCGUAUGAAUGCUAAAUAUAAACUUGCUGGAGAUAAGGGUAGAAAACAUGUUGUGUUUGCACCUGGAGAUCGUGUUUGGUUACAUUUGCGUAAGGAUAGAUUUCCUGAUUUGCGCAAAUCAAAGCUAAUGCCACGUGCUGAUGGUCCUUUUAAGGUGUUAGAGAAAAUAAAUGAUAAUGCAUAUAAACUUGAGCUGCCUGCAGAUUUUGGGGUUAGUCCCACUUUUAAUAUUGCAGAUUUGAAGCCUUAUUUGGGUGAGGAAGAUGAGCUUCCGUCGAGGACGACUUCAUUUCAAGAAGGGGAGGAUGAUGAGGACAUCAAUACAAUUAUUACACCCACAGGCCCUGCUGCUAUACAUACUGGACCAAUUACUAGAGCUCGCGCACGCCAAUUAAAUUACCAGGAAACAGACCCUCGUGGUCAGGUUGAUCGUGCUCCGGCGUGGUCGAUAACCUCUCGGAGUUGGUUUAGCGAUUGCUAA
RNAcentral lists this ribosomal RNA (510 nucleotides) under Triticum aestivum (bread wheat). RNAcentral describes it as "partial small subunit ribosomal RNA". The record is from RNAcentral. Lineage: Eukaryota; Viridiplantae; Streptophyta; Magnoliopsida; Poales; Poaceae.